This is a long non-coding RNA of Cyprinodon tularosa, 162 nucleotides long. RefSeq lists it as uncharacterized. The transcript has 2 exons. The record is from RefSeq and is a predicted model, not a curated record. NCBI's taxonomy places the organism in Eukaryota, Metazoa, Chordata, Actinopteri, Cyprinodontiformes, Cyprinodontidae.
CCUCUGCCUGCCUUCAGCCUCUGGACCCUCCUGGUUCCCCCCUUCUACCGCUCUGCUCAUCUCUGAUCAGUGAAAACCAGUCGUGACCAGACCCGGACCCAGUUAUCCCAGAAAUCGUUGUUCUUUAUUGUGAUUUAUCUUCAAUAAACUUUGUGAACUUUU